UUGUAUUUGAUGCCCAUUGAUAGAUGUAGUGCGUUGCGGUUGUUGACGUAAUGAUUGUGUUUGCUCUCUGAACGUUUCUGCAUCAAUGAUGCCUUGUGCCAACUUUUCUAUCAGUUGUUCUUGAGUCAAUGUGUGAUGUUUUUCUAUGUUUCUUUGUCUUUUGAUGCGUUUGUCAAUCGCACUUUUAAUUUUUGUGUAGAUGCGUUGAUUUUGAUAAAAGUCUCGGCACACUUCUAAUACUUUAUCUUCAAGUGUUUGUGCAUUGAUGCCUUUAAAAUCACAGACAAAGCGUGAAGCAUUCAUGUUUUUAGGAC
RNAcentral lists this small nuclear RNA (314 nucleotides) under Staphylococcus aureus. RNAcentral describes it as "SaV27". Lineage: Bacteria; Bacillati; Bacillota; Bacilli; Caryophanales; Staphylococcaceae. The record is from RNAcentral.